This 748-nucleotide ribosomal RNA is filed under the name uncultured Ruminococcus sp. RNAcentral describes it as "bacterial SSU rRNA". It matches the Rfam family "Bacterial small subunit ribosomal RNA", at positions 28 to 776 of the family's 1533-position model. The record is from RNAcentral. Lineage: Bacteria; Bacillati; Bacillota; Clostridia; Eubacteriales; Oscillospiraceae.
GAUGAACGCUGGCGGCGUGCCUAACACAUGCAAGUCGAGCGAAGCACUUUGCUUAGAUUCUUCAGAUGAAGAGGAUUGUGACUGAGCGGCGGACGGGUGAGUAACGCGUGGGUAACCUGCCUCAUACAGGGGGAUAACAGUUAGACAUGACUGCUAAUACCGCAUAAGACCACAGCACCGCAUGGUGCGGGGGUAAAAACUCCGGUGGUAUGAGAUGGACCCGCGUCUGAUUAGCUAGUUGGUAAGGUAACGGCUUACCAAGGCGACGAUCAGUAGCCGACCUGAGAGGGUGACCGGCCACAUUGGGACUGAGACACGGCCCAAACUCCUACGGGAGGCAGCAGUGGGGAAUAUUGCACAAUGGGGGAAACCCUGAUGCAGCGACGCCGCGUGAGCGAAGAAGUAUUUCGGUAUGUAAAGCUCUAUCAGCAGGGAAGAAAAUGACGGUACCUGACUAAGAAGCACCGGCUAAAUACGUGCCAGCAGCCGCGGUAAUACGUAUGGUGCAAGCGUUAUCCGGAUUUACUGGGUGUAAAGGGAGCGUAGACGGAUGGGCAAGUCUGAUGUGAAAACCCGGGGCUCAACCCCGGGACUGCAUUGGAAACUGUUCAUCUAGAGUGCUGGAGAGGUAAGUGGAAUUCCUAGUGUAGCGGUGAAAUGCGUAGAUAUUAGGAGGAACACCAGUGGCGAAGGCGGCUUACUGGACAGUAACUGACGUUGAGGCUCGAAAGCGUGGGGAGCAAACAGG